UGUCUUAAAUUUAAAGAAUUUGGCGGUAUUUUAGUCUAGUUAGAGGAACCUGUUUUGUAAGCGAUACUACACGUAAUAUCUUACUUAUUUUUGUUUGUUUGUAUACCGUCAUUAUUAGAUAACUUUGAUAGAUAUAAGUUAUUAGAACUAAAAUAUUAAAUAUAUUAGAUCAAGGUGCAGCUGAUGGAUAAGGGGAAAUGGGUUACAAUAAAAUUUAUUUAACGGAUUAGUUUUCGAAGGGGUUAUUUAAGGUGGAUUUAAUUGUAAUUAUUAUUUAAUAAGUUGUAGUGAUAU
Molecule: ribosomal RNA, 294 nt
Filed under: Virilastacus araucanius
Lineage: Eukaryota; Metazoa; Arthropoda; Malacostraca; Decapoda; Parastacidae
Description: partial 12S ribosomal RNA
Source: RNAcentral